AAAAGAGCAUAAGGUGAAUGCCUUGGCACUGGGAGCCGAAGAAGGACGUGACUAACUGCGAUAAGCUGCGGGGAGUUGUAAAUAAGUAUUGAUCCGCAGAUUUCCGAAUGGGGAAACCCCCGUGAUGAAGAAUCACGGAGCGUAUACUGAAUCCAUAGGUAUGCGCGGGGAACUCGGGGAACUGAAACAUCUAAGUACCCGAAGGAAGAGAAAUCAACCGAGAUUCCGCGAGUAGUGGCGAGCGAAAGCGGAAGAGGCUAAACCGGAGGUAGCAAUAUCUCCGGGGUUCGGACAGAAAUGUGUACGCGGGAGCGUAGCCGAAGGGCGUGGGAAAGCCUGCCGGAGAAUGUGAGAGCCAUGUAGGCGAAACGCAAACGCGACUAUCUGUAUCCAAAGUACCUACGGACACGUGUAAUCCGUAGGGAAGAUGGGGGGCCCAUCCUCCAAGCCUAAAUACUACCCAGUGACCGAUAGCGGAGAAGUACUGUGAAGGAAAGGUGAAAAGAACCCCGGGAGGGGAGUGAAAUAGAACCUGAAACCUUAUGUUUACAAGCACACAAAGCACAUUUAAGUGCGAUGUGGUACCUUUUGUAGAAUGGUCCGGCGAGUUUAUGUGCGUAGCGAGGUUAAGGACUUCAGGUCCGGAGCCGCAGGGAAACCGAGUGUGAACAGCGCCAGAGUUACGCGUAUAAGACCCGAAACCGGGUGACCUAUCCAUGAGCAGGUUGAAGUUGCGGUAAAACGCAAUGGAGGACCGAACCGACCCCCGUUGAAAAGUUGGCGGAUGACUUGUGGAUAGCGGAGAAAUUCCAAUCGAACCCGGAUAUAGCUGGUUCUCCCCGAAAUAGCUUUAGGGCUAGCCUUGAAUAUAUUUGCCGGAGGUAAAGCACUGACUGGACGAGGGGUCGAGAGACUACCAACUCCUAUCAAACUCAGAAUGCCGGACAAAUGAGUUCAGGAGUCAGACUGUGUGAGAUAAGUCUCAUAGUCAAAAGGGAAACAGCCCAGACCUACAGCUAAGGUCCCAAAUAUAUGCUAAGUGGAGAAGGAUGUGACAAUGCUAAGACAACUAGGAUGUUGGCUUAGAAGCAGCCACUCAUUCAAAGAGUGCGUAAUAGCUCACUAGUCGAGUGAUGUUGCGCCGAAGAUUUAACGGGGCUAAGCAUAUAACCGAAGCUUAGGCAGUACGUAAGUACUGGGUAGGGGAGCGUUCUGUGCGGGGUGAAGUCGUACCGGAAGGAGCGGUGGACUGCACAGAAGUGAGAAUGCCGGAAUGAGUAGCGAGAAUUGCGUGAGAAUCGUAAUGGCCGAAUAUCUAAGGUUUCCAGGGGUAGGUUCGUCCGCCCUGGGUGAGCCGGGAGCUAAGGCGAGGCCGAAAGGCGUAGUCGAUGCACAUACGGUGGAAAUUCCGUAGCCGCUAAAACUUUAAGUAUACUGACACAACGUAGGAGCUUGACCCCGGGAUUGGAAGUCCGGGGCGAAAGGGACUGAAAUUAGAGUAGGGAAGCAAGCAAGCACGGUGGCGAGAAAAGGUAUAUGUAUAGUUCAGGCGCCCGUACCGCAAACCGACACAGGUAGAUGAGGAGAGAAUCCUAAGGCCAACGGGAGAAGGGUUGUUAAGGAACUCGGCAUAUUGACCCCGUAACUUCGGAAGAAGGGGUGCCUCCGCAAGGAGGCCGCAGUGAAAAGGCCCAGGCGACUGUUUAUCAAAAACACAGGUCUCUGCAAAACCGAAAGGUGAAGUAUAGGGGCUGACGCCUGCCCGGUGCUGGAAGGUCAAGGGGACUGCUUAGCGCAAGCGAAGGCAUGAACUUAAGCCCCAGUAAACGGCGGCCGUAACUAUAACGGUCCUAAGGUAGCGAAAUUCCUUGUCAGGUAAGUUCUGACCCGCACGAAAGGCGUAACGAUCUGGGCACUGUCUCAACAGCCCGCCCGGCGAAAUUGUAGUACCGGUGAAGAUGCCGGUUACCCGCGACUAGACGGAAAGACCCCAUGGAGCUUUACUGUAGCUUGAUACUGAGAUUCGGUGAAUUAUGCACAGGAUAGGUGGGAGACUAUGAAACAGGUGCUUCGGCGCUUGCGGAGUCGCUGUUGGGAUACCACUCUUGAUUCACUGGAUUUCUAACCUGCGGCCGUGAAUCCGGCCGGGGGACAAUGUCAGGUGGGCAGUUUGACUGGGGCGGUCGCCUCCAAAAGAGUAACGGAGGCGUUCAAAGGUCGGCUCAGCGCGGACGGAAAUCGCGCAUAGAGUGUAAACGCAAAAGCCGGCCUAACUGCGAGACAGACAAGUCGAGCAGUAACGAAAGUUGGAGUUAGUGAUCAGGUGGUAGUGAAUGGAAAUGCCAUCGCUUAACGGAUAAAAGCUACCCUGGGGAUAACAGGCUGAUCUCCCCCAAGAGUUCACAUCGACGGGGAGGUUUGGCACCUCGAUGUCGGCUCAUCACAUCCUGGGGCUUGGAGAAGGUCCCAAGGGUUCGGCUGUCCGCCGAUUAAAGUGGUACGCGAGCUGGGUUCAGAACGUCGUGAGACAGUUCGGUCCCUAUCUGUCGUGGGCGUUGGAUAUUUGAGAGGGGCUGACCUUAGUACGAGAGGACCGGGUCGGACGCACCUCCGGUGCACCAGUUGUUCCGCCAGGGGCAUAGCUGGGUAGCCGCGUGCGGGAGUGAUAAACGCUGAAGGCAUCUAAGCGUGAAACAUGCUUCAAGAUUAGAUAUCCCACAACUUCAAGUUGGUAAGGUCACUUGCAGACUACAAGUUUGAUAGGUCAGAGGUGGAAGCGCAGUAAUGCGUGCAGUUGACUGAUACUAAUAGACCGAGGGCUUGAACC
This 2827-nucleotide ribosomal RNA is filed under the name human gut metagenome. RNAcentral's name for it is "bacterial LSU rRNA". It matches the Rfam family "Bacterial large subunit ribosomal RNA". The record is from RNAcentral.